Molecule: ribosomal RNA, 461 nt
Filed under: Nepinnotheres villosulus
Lineage: Eukaryota; Metazoa; Arthropoda; Malacostraca; Decapoda; Pinnotheridae
Description: partial large subunit ribosomal RNA
Source: RNAcentral
UGCUCUCUGAGUAUUAUUUAAAGGGCCGCGGUAAUUUGACCGUGCAAAGGUAGCAUAAUAGUUAGUUUUUUAAUUGGAAUCUUGUAUGAAUGGUUGGACGAAAAAAAUACUGUCUUUGUAAUUAUUAUUGAAUUUAACUUUUAAGUGAAAAGGCUUAAAUUAUUUAGUAAGACGAUAAGACCCUAUAAAGCUUUAUAAUUAAAUUUUAUUAGAUUAAAUUAUUUAUAAAAUUUUAGUAAAUUUUAUUAUUUUAUUGGGGAGAUAAUUAUUAUAAUGGAUAAUAACUGUAAAUAAUUAAAACAAAUAUAAAUGUUUAUAUAAUAAUAAAAGAUCCUGAUUUUAGAUUGUAAGUUUAAGUUACUUUAGGGAUAACAGCGUUAUUUUUUUUGAGAGUUCAUAUCGAAAAAAAAGAUUGCGACCUCGAUGUUGAAUUAAAAAUUCUGAGUAGUUGUAGAAGCUAC